This is a long non-coding RNA of Colossoma macropomum (tambaqui), 2222 nucleotides long. RefSeq lists it as uncharacterized. NCBI's taxonomy places the organism in Eukaryota, Metazoa, Chordata, Actinopteri, Characiformes, Serrasalmidae. The record is from RefSeq and is a predicted model, not a curated record. The transcript is spliced from 2 exons.
UAUUUGGAAUGUAGGUGGUUUCCAGUGUUACAGUCUAAAAGGAGGAGACGCUCUCUGUGUGUUUCAUUUCAAACUUUCUCUUUUGAACCUGCUCUGGGCCUUAGCCUCAUUUCUCUGCUGGAACACAAGACAAAUGGUAUCUGAGUCGUAGACAAACAACCAUAACGGCAAUGACGGGGAAGGAUGAGGAUGGUGAAGAUGGUGAUGAUGAAGACAGUGACGAUGACGAUGAUGAAGAAGAUGGCUGAUGGUCUGCUGCCAAGGGCAGACCACGGGAACGGAACCAAUAGGCAAACAAUACACAUUUGCUGUUUAGCAACGUGUUGAUUGUUGAUGGUUGAGAGGGAACUCAUGGGUCCCGUGAUCCUGACAGAACGCCACUGUCAGAUUUGCAUGCGGUGCUAGGCCUGGUUUGCCUGAGCCUGCUUAAGCACAAUGUGCGCUGUUGAAUGUACUACAGAGAACUGGAAAAGCUAAGAGCCAGUGAGAUGGGCUUGUAUAUUCUCCACAGAUGAAUGAUCUCAUUUGAAAACUGUCUGUAUUCCAUUGGAAACCAAAAAUAUAUUGUAAAAACUGUACAAAUUUGUAACUAUAUUGCUAGGCCUGCAUGUCAGUGAAUCAACAAAACUAAUGAACCUAUGCAUUUGUAAAGACUUACACAUGUCAAUAAUUUAAAAUGUUUUGAAAUCUCCUUUGUAAUUCUUUAAAAUCUAUUUAGGGAAAUCAUCAGGGAAAAUAGACAAGCCUAAUUUGUUACUAAUGUAACAACAAUGGGGCCAUUCUGUUCAGAAGGCCACCAACUGGCCAACAAAGAACGGAUACCUAAUAGUAUCUACGUAUAGAAACUAUGUAUUUGUUAAGAAUAAUACACACAGAAAAUAAUAAAGAAUAAACAGUGCAGUGACAGACUGUUCUAAGGGCAGUAUAUGUACCACAGAGAACUGUGAAGGCUGAAAGUAGCCAAUAAGAUGGGCUUGUAUAUUCUCCACAGAUAAAUGAUCUGACUCAGAAUUUAUUCAUUGCAAAACUGUAAUCUGCCCAACUUAAAAUGAUAUAGUAACUGAUUACAUGGCUUUUCGUGAGUUAACUCAGCUUGAGGACCCCAAAGUUCACAUAACUCAAACUUCUUAGUUGAGUUAAAAAUUCCCAGUUACUGUUUGUAGGUUUGCAACUCAGUUAGAUAAACAAAACUGAAUUUGCCUUUUUUCACUCAACCUUCCCACUAGCUGGCACUCCUUCUAUCACACAGUCCUAUCUGGCAUAUUUUCCUCUUGGGCUUCUGGAUAUGGACAGCUAUGGUAUUGCUGGGAUUCAAACUCACAAUCUCUUGAUGUUGGGAUGAAUUAUUAGACAGCUGCACCACAGGAGACAAUACCAUGCUUUAAAGUUAAAACAGAUAUUUUCUCCAGUGUUAAACAUUUGUAGACACAAAAUUUGAGUUGCUUCAUGUGUUUCUGAGUGGUGCAGUGGACUAAGCCGUCACCCCAACAGGAGGUUGUGAAUUUGAGCCCCAGCAAUGCAGUGGCCAUCUGUAAGUACGUAUCCAAGAGGAAAAAUGUCUAGCAGGAUUGUGUGAUGGAAAGAGUCCUGGCUAGUGGGGGAGUUCAAUAUAAAAAAACAAGUUCAUUUUAUUCACCUAACUGAGAUGCAGAACUAAAAAAUGAAGGGAACUUUUGACUCAAUUAAGAAGUUUGAGUUGGGUGAACUCUUGUGUCACUCAAGUUGAGUCAACUCAAGAAAAGCCAUGUAAACUAUAUCAUUUUGAGUUGAGCCGACCUCUCAUUUUUAACAGUGUAGCUCACUCAGAUUUCAUACAAUUAUUAUUUAAAUAUCUACCAUGUUACAGUUUUUCUAUAAUGCUAUAAAACCUCUCUGAUUCCCUUAAUAAUGAAAAUCUACUUAGAGAAAAAUAUUAGGGAAAAUAGACAAGCCUAAUUUGUAAAAAAUGUAAAAAUGGGCCCAAGCUGUUCAUUUGACCAGUAAAGAGCCAAGUCUGGUAGAGAGCAUCUCCUCUUUACACGAUUAUUGUGUAUUUUACAUUGUCUAAUAUCAGUAUGGAGUUAUGAACUACUACUGAACUAUAUGUUAUUUUCUCUUGUUAUUUAAGGACUGUCAAUGUUUAAGGACUUUGGUAACAUGUUCUUUUAUAAUAAUUUUGAUUCCAGUUCCACAGACAAUACUGUAGACUUGUUUAAUGAUGUUUUUUUUAAAAAACAUCAUUA